RNA transcript from Octodon degus (degu), 1155 nucleotides. It is a transcript of the gene named nuclease-sensitive element-binding protein 1 pseudogene, with no coding region annotated. Lineage: Eukaryota; Metazoa; Chordata; Mammalia; Rodentia; Octodontidae. The record is from RefSeq and is a predicted model, not a curated record. The transcript has 2 exons.
AUGGGUUGGAGGGGGGCCAUGCUGAUAGCCCAAAAGUUCUCAAGAAGCUAUAAUCGAGUGUUUACUAGGAAGAUGGGCUACAGAGUUCGAUCGGUAGCGGGAGCGGAGAGCAGAUCCCAGAGAGCCCUGAGCAGCCCAUCACACACCCGGAGGAGCCGCAGCCUGCCCGGUCACCAUCGCCGCAACCGUGAGCAGCUGGGCCAGACCCAGCAGCCGCCCCCACCCCACGCCACCCUCAGCCCUGCUGACACCGAGCCCGGCACCGCGGAAGCAGAGCAGGGAGCUGUGGCCCGGGCGACCUCACAGAGGCUGCGCCUGCCGCCUGCCGGAAGGGACAAAAAGGUCAUAGCAGCAAAGGUUUUGGGAAGAGUAAAAUGGUUUAAGGUAAGAAGCAGAUAUGGCUUGAUCAACAGGAAUGACACCAAGGAAGAUGUACUUGUACACCAGACUGCCCUAAAGAAGAAUAACCCCAGGAAGGACCUUCGCCGUGUAGGAGAUGGAGAGACUACGGAGUUUGGUGUUGCUGAAGGAGAAAAGGGUGCGGAGGCAGCGAAUGUUACAGGCCCUGGUGGAGCUCCAGUUGCAGGCAGUAAAUACGCAGCAGACCGUAACCAUUGUAGACGCUAUCUACGUCGUAGGGGUCCUCCACGCAAUUACCAGCAGAAUUACCAGAAUAGUGAGAGUGGGGAAAAGAAUGGAUCGGAGAGCGCUCCCGAAGGCCAGGCCCAGCCACGCCGGCCCCACCACAGGCGAAGGUGCCCACCUCACUGCAUGCAGAGACCCCGUGGGCGUCGUCCACAGUACUCCAACCCUCCUGUGCAAGGAGAAGUGAUGGAGGGUGCUGACAACCAGGGUGCAGGAGAACAAGGCAGACAAGUGAGACAGAAUAUGUAUCGAGGUUAUAGACCACGAUUCCGUAGGGACCCUCCUCGCCAAAGACAGCCGAGAGAGGAUGGCAAUGUAGAAGAUAAGGAAAAUCGAGGAGAUGAGACCCAAGGUCAGCAGCCACCUCAACGACGGUACCGUCGCAACUUCAAUUACCAACGCAGACGCCCAGAAAGCCCUAAACCACAAGACGGCAAAGAGACAAAAGCAGCCGAUCCACCAGCUGAGAAUUCGUCCGCUCGGGAGGCUGAGCAGGGCGGGGCUGAGUAA